GACGAACGCNGGCGGCGUGCUUAACACAUGCAAGUCGAACGAAGAGCGAUGGAAGCUUGCUUCUAUCAAUCUUAGUGGCGAACGGGUGAGUAACGCGUAAUCAACCUGCCCUUCAGAGGGGGACAACAGUUGGAAACGACUGCUAAUACCGCAUACGAUCUAAUCUCGGCAUCGAGGAUAGAUGAAAGGUGGCCUCUACAUGUAAGCUAUCACUGAAGGAGGGGAUUGCGUCUGAUUAGCUAGUUGGAGGGGUAACGGCCCACCAAGGCGAUGAUCAGUAGCCGGUCUGAGAGGAUGAACGGCCACAUUGGGACUGAGACACGGCCCAGACUCCUACGGGAGGCAGCAGUGGGGAAUCUUCCGCAAUGGACGAAAGUCUGACGGAGCAACGCCGCGUGAGUGAUGACGGCCUUCGGGUUGUAAAGCU
RNAcentral lists this ribosomal RNA (427 nucleotides) under uncultured bacterium. RNAcentral describes it as "bacterial SSU rRNA". It matches the Rfam family "Bacterial small subunit ribosomal RNA", at positions 28 to 432 of the family's 1533-position model. The record is from RNAcentral.